Molecule: ribosomal RNA, 511 nt
Filed under: uncultured bacterium
Lineage: Bacteria
Description: partial 16S ribosomal RNA
Rfam family: Bacterial small subunit ribosomal RNA
Source: RNAcentral
GACGAACGCUGGCGGCGUGCCUAAUACAUGCAAGUAGAACGCUGAAGGAGGAGCUUACUUCUCUGGAUGAGUUGCGAUCGGGUGAGCAACGCGUAGGUAACCUGCCUGGUAGCGGGGGAUAACUAUUGGAAACGAUAGCUAAUACCGCAUAAGAGUAGAUGUUGCAUGACAUUUACUUAAAAGGUGCAAUUGCACCACUACCAGAUGGACCUGCUUUGUAUUAGCUAGUUGGUGGGGUAACGGCUUACCAAGGCGACGAUACAUAGCCGACCUGGAAGGGUGAUCGGCCACACUGGGACUGAGACACGGACCAGACUCCUACGGGAGGCAGCAGUAGGGAAUCUUCGGCAAUGGACGGAAGUCUGACCGAGCAACGCCGCGUGAGUGAAGAAGGUUUUCGGAUCGUAAAGCUCUGUUGUAAGAGAAGAACGAGUGUGAGAGUGGAAAGUUCACACUGUGACGGUAUCUUACCAGAAAGGGACGGCUAACUACGUGCCAGCAGCCGCAGUAA